This 2175-nucleotide ribosomal RNA is filed under the name Triticum aestivum (bread wheat). Its description in RNAcentral is "partial small subunit ribosomal RNA". Lineage: Eukaryota; Viridiplantae; Streptophyta; Magnoliopsida; Poales; Poaceae. The record is from RNAcentral.
AUGACCACGCCCAGCUCACAAUCCCUUCCCCAGAUGCUGCUGCUGCCAGCAAUCCUACUGGUCAUCUUUGCGGCCGUGGCUGAACAGCAGCAGCAUCCGGUGCCACGUCCUGGUUGCCGCGAUAAGUGCGGCGACAUCACCAUCCCCUUCCCGUUCGGCAUCGGCAACGGCUGCUACCGCGAUGGCUUCGAGGUCAUUUGCAACGACUCCUUCAUUCCUCCUCGUGCUUUUCUUGCUGACAACAGAACAAUCAAUCUAGAGAGAUCCUUCUACGACGACCGGGGCUACUAUCAGUCGUCGCCGCCGCUGGAGCUCUUGAGCAUAUCAGUCGCCACGAGCAAGGUACGAGCAUACGCUGCAGUAUCGUACCGCUGCAGCCUAAAUAUGACCGGCCGGACCGUGUCCAAGGGAGGUGAGGGGAAAACCUUCUUCAUGUCCCAGCAUAUAAAUUUCGGCAACUCGGCGUUUGCUGUCUCAGCAGCGCGCAAUGUUCUCAUAGGCGUCGGCCAGAUAGUGGAGCCUGUACUGGUAUAUGGUAACGGCGGUUCGGUGCCUAACUUGUAUUGCCGCACAAUAUCAGAGAGACGGUACAUGCAGAGGUACAACCCGGUCAAGAAUGGGUCAUGCGAGGGGCGGGGCUGCUGUGAGACCACCCUUCUGCAUCCCGGCAAGAGUUUGACCGUGUCUGUCACUGAGGAGGACGACGAGUGGUGGGAGCUUUAUCCCUGCUCCUACGCCAUGCUCGUGGAGAAGUCAUGGUACAGCUUCUUUACACCGGACAUGUCCGGUAACAAGACGCUGCACCAAAGGUUCCUCCGUGGCGUCCCCCUCGUGCUGGAUUUCGCUGCCGGAAAUGUUUCGUGUCCGGCGGAAGGACAGCCGCCGCCUCCAGACUACGCUUGCAUCAGCCAAAACAGCUCUUGUGCCGACGCAACAGUUACUCCUGGCUAUGUCUGCCGGUGCUCCGGCAAUUACACCGGCAACCCUCACAUCGCUCACGGUUGCCAAGACAUUGAUGAGUGCAAGCUCCCUGAAAAUCCCUGCUCAAAUGGCGGGAUCUGCAAAAAUAGGCCGGGAGGCUAUGACUGUCCAUGCAAAUUUGGAAUGAAAGCGGAUGGCCAAGGGGGGACCUGCACGCAUGUAUUCCCUCCAGCAGCAAUGGCGACUGUCGGCGGAAUAGGUGGUAUUCUUCUCAUGGCAAUUAUAACGUUUCUGAUUAUUCUUCACAAAGAGAAAAAGAAGACGAAAGAAUUCUACAAAAAGAAUGGUGGCCCUAUAUUGGAACAGGCAAAUACCAUUAAACUUUUCACAAAAGGGGAGCUCAAGCCAAUUUUAAAGAAUAGCAACUUAAUUGGAAAAGGUUGCUUCGGUGAAGUUUACAAAGGCCUUCUUGACAACGAACAAGUUGCAAUAAAGAAACCGAUCAAUGGUAGCGUGCAAGAGAAUGACCAAUUCGCAAAUGAAGUCAUCAUCCAAUCUCAAGUCAUCCACAAGAACAUUGUUAGGCUCAUUGGCUGUUGCCUUGAAGUUGACGCCCCCAUGCUGGUCUAUGAGUUCAUCUCACAAGGUAGCCUCCAUGACAUUCUUCACGACAACAGUAAAAAGGUGGCCCUCAACUUGGAUGCACGUUUAAGUAUUGCUGCACAAUCAGCCGAUGGUCUAGCUUAUAUGCACUCACAAGCAAACACUAGAAUUCUACACGGAGAUGUCAAACCAGCAAAUAUACUCUUGGAUGAUAACUUUGCACCCAAAAUUUCAGACUUUGGCAUAUCUAGGUUGCUUGCGAAAGACAAGGAACACACCGGAUCAGUCAUUGGCGACAUGAAUUAUAUGGAUCCUGUAUAUCUACAAGAAGGACUACUCACUGAAAAAAGUGACGUCUAUAGUUUUGGAGUUGUGAUCUUGGAGCUUAUUAGCAGCAGAAGGGCCAUACAUUCCGAGACUAAUGGUGUGGUAAAGAGCUUUCUUGAAGCCCAUAAGAAACAGAAGAAAGCGACCGAGUUUUUUGACAAGGAAAUUGCAAUACCAGAAGAUUUAGAGCUUCUUGAUAGUCUAGCAAGUAUGGCCGUGGAAUGCCUUAGCCUUGAUGUAGAUCAAAGACCCACGAUGAUGGAGGUAGCUGAGCAGCUGCACAAACUGAGUCGGUCUCGUAAGGUGCAAGAUGUUUGUCACUAA